AUGCUCACUUUGGCAGCACAUAUACUAAAAUUAGAAUGAUACAGAGAAAAAUAACAUGACCUCCAGGCAAGGGUGACUUGCAAAUUCAUGAAACAUUCUAUGUUUUU
Myodes glareolus (Bank vole) is the source of this 107-nucleotide small nuclear RNA. The record is from RefSeq and is a predicted model, not a curated record. Lineage: Eukaryota; Metazoa; Chordata; Mammalia; Rodentia; Cricetidae.